Molecule: ribosomal RNA, 1622 nt
Filed under: Salmonella enterica
Lineage: Bacteria; Pseudomonadati; Pseudomonadota; Gammaproteobacteria; Enterobacterales; Enterobacteriaceae
Description: partial 23S ribosomal RNA
Rfam family: Bacterial large subunit ribosomal RNA
Source: RNAcentral
CUGCGGCAGCGACACUCAGGUGUUGUUGGGUAGGGGAGCGUUCUGUAAGCCUGCGAAGGUGGCCUGUGAGGGUUGCUGGAGGUAUCAGAAGUGCGAAUGCUGACAUAAGUAACGAUAAAGCGGGUGAAAAGCCCGCUCGCCGGAAGACCAAGGGUUCCUGUCCAACGUUAAUCGGGGCAGGGUGAGUCGACCCCUAAGGCGAGGCCGAAAGGCGUAGUCGAUGGGAAACGGGUUAAUAUUCCCGUACUUGGUGUUACUGCGAAGGGGGGACGGAGAAGGCUAUGUUGGCCGGGCGACGGUUGUCCCGGUUUAAGCGUGUAGGUGUGUGUUCCAGGUAAAUCCGGUUCACUUUAACACUGAGGCGUGAUGACGAGGCACUACGGUGCUGAAGCAACAAAUGCCCUGCUUCCAGGAAAAGCCUCUAAGCAUCAGGUAACAUCAAAUCGUACCCCAAACCGACACAGGUGGUCAGGUAGAGAAUACCAAGGCGCUUGAGAGAACUCGGGUGAAGGAACUAGGCAAAAUGGUGCCGUAACUUCGGGAGAAGGCACGCUGACACGUAGGUGAAGUGAUUUACUCAUGGAGCUGAAGUCAGUCGAAGAUACCAGCUGGCUGCAACUGUUUAUUAAAAACACAGCACUGUGCAAACACGAAAGUGGACGUAUACGGUGUGACGCCUGCCCGGUGCCGGAAGGUUAAUUGAUGGGGUCAGCGCAAGCGAAGCUCCUGAUCGAAGCCCCGGUAAACGGCGGCCGUAACUAUAACGGUCCUAAGGUAGCGAAAUUCCUUGUCGGGUAAGUUCCGACCUGCACGAAUGGCGUAAUGAUGGCCAGGCUGUCUCCACCCGAGACUCAGUGAAAUUGAACUCGCUGUGAAGAUGCAGUGUACCCGCGGCAAGACGGAAAGACCCCGUGAACCUUUACUAUAGCUUGACACUGAACAUUGAGCCUUGAUGUGUAGGAUAGGUGGGAGGCUUUGAAGCGUGGACGCCAGUCUGCGUGGAGCCGACCUUGAAAUACCACCCUUUAAUGUUUGAUGUUCUAACGUGGACCCGUGAUCCGGGUUGCGGACAGUGUCUGGUGGGUAGUUUGACUGGGGCGGUCUCCUCCUAAAGAGUAACGGAGGAGCACGAAGGUUGGCUAAUCCUGGUCGGACAUCAGGAGGUUAGUGCAAUGGCAUAAGCCAGCUUGACUGCGAGCGUGACGGCGCGAGCAGGUGCGAAAGCAGGUCAUAGUGAUCCGGUGGUUCUGAAUGGAAGGGCCAUCGCUCAACGGAUAAAAGGUACUCCGGGGAUAACAGGCUGAUACCGCCCAAGAGUUCAUAUCGACGGCGGUGUUUGGCACCUCGAUGUCGGCUCAUCACAUCCUGGGGCUGAAGUAGGUCCCAAGGGUAUGGCUGUUCGCCAUUUAAAGUGGUACGCGAGCUGGGUUUAGAACGUCGUGAGACAGUUCGGUCCCUAUCUGCCGUGGGCGCUGGAGAACUGAGGGGGGCUGCUCCUAGUACGAGAGGACCGGAGUGGACGCAUCACUGGUGUUCGGGUUGUCAUGCCAAUGGCACUGCCCGGUAGCUAAAUGCGGAAGAGAUAAGUGCUGAAAGCAUCUAAGCACGAAACUUGCCCCGAG